UGAAUGAUAUUUGCUCUCCAAUGGUUAUUCUUAUGGAAAACAAAGCAGACACCUUUUAUUGUUUUGAGCGGGCAAUGCGCAGAUUGGUAUGCAUCUAUUUCAUUAUCAAAGGUGACAUUGUUAUUAAAACUAAUAAUGUGACCCAACUGCCUACUUUAUUUAAUUGCUCCUUCAUUCUUGAAUGUAGAAUUGAUCUGUUUUAGUGAAAAAUAGUUACUUGAGUUAGUUGGGUUUGGUAUUUAGUGAAUUCCAAUGGGAUGGGUAUACUUUUUUGGCCUUCUGGUUUCAAUUUUUGGGAUAUCAGCAUUAUUGCAUAGCUAGUUCCUGAACACCUGGAGUGUAGAAAUCCUACUCUCUGAUAGUAGUUGUUUCUCCAUAGGGCAAAAUAGUCAAACGAAAUCAGGCCAUGCCUACAAUUAGUAGGACUAAGGUUUUGUUGGGUAGAAUUGUUAACUUCAACUCUGAUUUCUAGCUUUUUGUUGACAGGCCAAGUGGGUGACAAACUUUUAGGGGAAUGCCUCACAUUUUUCUAGGUUAUGGUUGGUUUAUAUGUAUGCAGCAAUUAGGGCACUUUGAAGGUUCUUUAGUUUUUUUUACUACAGACUCUGACUACUCAAGUAUGUUGCAUUUAGCAAACCUGUUAUUUAGGACAGGGUUACCUGAUUUUGUUGCUUUUCCUCACAAAGUUGCAUCUUAAUUUCUUAACUGUGAGUCAUAGUGCUUUUCAUCUUUCAGACUUUUUCUUGGGUUUAGGACUCAUUUCCUCGCUUUUAUUUGAAAAAGAGAAAAUUUCAGAUCUAAUGCGCAUUCUAUAGGGGUGCAGUCUCAAUUGAGUACACUUGCAGGAAUAAUGAAAGUUCUUGAUCCAAAGCUUCAUCAACACCUUGGUAUGGCUGAUCCUGCUAGAACCUGCGCCAAAGUUAUCCUGCACCUGCAACACACUUUUAAGCCAACAUGUUUGUGAUUAAAAAAUAUUAUGGCAAGGAAACGAUGAAGCUGACAGAAUUGUCUGCAAGUGAUAAACUAGAGCGCUUCUGUGGAUCAAAAGAGUCACAUGGAUUAAUUUAUCAGUAUGGAUGAGCAAAAGACCCCACCUUAGAUGAUGAAGAAUGGUCGCAUAUAUCUGAAAUGCACUCAAGGUAUUCACACAAUCAACACUCAAUUGCAUUUCUUUUAUAGAACAUUAAAUAUUUGAGAUGGAUAGAGCCACUUAAACCAAAUUGUUGUUAUAGUUAAAUUUCUGUUGAACUUGCAAUUUCUGUGGAUAAAGUGACAUUUUGAUUUUACAUGCUUCAUGUCAUGCUAGAGGUAUUUAAUGUUAAGAUAUUUAAAGGGGUGUGAUCAGUCGGACUUUAUCUUUUGUAAGACUAGAACAAUCUUUAUAAAUAGUUAGUUUAUUCAUAUGCUUCUAGCGGUUUCUAAAUUAAUUUGUGUUUUCAUUUUUCAAGUCAGAAUUUCUUGGAGAGAUGCAAAAUAUGCUCAAAGAAUUUAAGAACUUAGUUUUUCAAGUUUUUUCAUUUUUUAAUAAAUAUAAGCACAGUUUUUAAUUCAUUUGUAUAUACUUUUGAACAUAUUUAACUUUCAUUUAUGAAAUAUAUGAUGUCAUUCCAUUCAAUAUGUGGUUGUGAUUCAAAGUAUAGUAUAUAGUGUGUAUUACAUCCUUCAAAUGUGUGUACAAAAAUAAUAUAGAUUAUUCUUCAAAUAUGUCGAACCCUUUUUUCAUCACACGCAUUAACUGUGAUGAGAAAUACAUAUAACGUGUGAUAUUAUCUCAUUAUUAAUCACAAGUUUUAUUAGGUAUUAAUCACACUUAAAAGAUGUGAUCUAAAUGUUUAUUAUCACAUGUUUUAUUAGUUUUUAAUCACACUUAAAAGAUAUGAUCUAAAUGUUAUUAAUCACACUUAAAAUAUGUGAUCUAAAUGUUUAUUAUCACAUGUUUUAUUAGUUAUUGAUCACACUUAAAAUAUGUGACCUAAUUGUUAUUAAUCACACUUAAAAGAUGUGAUGUAAAUAUUUAUUAACACGGGUUUUAUUAGUUUUUAAUCACACUUAAAAGAUGUGAUCUAAAUGUUAUUAAUCACACUUAAAAAGUGUGAUUAAAAAUGACCCUUUUUAAUCACACUCCCAAAGAUCACACUUUGACAAAACUUAAAAAGUGUGAUCAAAGAUUACACAAAAAAAGUGUGAUCUUUAUCUAUUUUUGUAGUAGUGACAUGAGCAGAGCAAUUAUUGAAGAGAAAAUUUAGAAAUGAGUUAUGCUAGAGACACCAAAUAAUCUGUCAAACUUCUCACAUGGGUGUGGUGCCCACACCCAUGUAGAUUCGUGUGAGAUCCAUACACAUGUGAGAGAUUUGGUAGAAAAUUUGUGUCACGACCCAAACCCGCCCUUAUAAGUUUAGCGUCGUAACCGGCCAGUAAUUCUUGGAUUAUCAAAGGCCUCUUAACAAAAUAACAUAUAAUAAGGGCCUACGGAAGCAAAUAUAGAAAAUAUACAAUGUCCAUAGAGUUGUGUUAAUUAGGGCUGGCCAUAGGGUUAUCCGACCCGCCUAAACCGCCCUACCCGAUCCGAACCACACGCAUGUGGGCGGUUUUGCAAACACAUUAGGGUAGGGUGCAGUUUGGAUUUUACAUAAAUUUUGGGUUGCGGGCGGGUUGCGGGUUUGAACCGCACCCGCCCAACCCGCCCACAUUAAAUUAUUAUUAUUUUUUUCAAACAAAUCUAACCGUCCAUCUAUACUUGGUCCUCAUCUAUACUAUACUAAACAAAACAAAAAACCCUAAAUCUAAUCGUCUCCCUCACAUCACUCUCUCAGUCGCCUCUUUCUCUCUCACCCUCUCGUUCAUCUCUGCACCGAUCUCAUUCAUCUCUGCAACGAUCACUCUCUCACUCUCUCGUUGUUCAUCUCAUCGAUUCGUACCGAUCAUCGCACCGCCGAUCUACUCACAGAUCAGUCUCAUCUCUGUCUCUCCCUCUCUCACCCCGAUGGACUCACACUAUCUCACAGUUUAAAUGGAGGAUAGUAUUCAAUCUCUCGCAAUCAAUCUUGUACCUCUGGAAUCCUCUAAUUCUCAAAUGAAUCCUCUCUUAGUCGAACCCGAACCUGAACUUGAACCUAAGCCUCCUAGACUCCCAAAGAGAAAGAGUGAGAGUGGAGGGGGGAGAGCACCAUCUACAGUUUGGGAUCAUUUUGACAAGGUUGUAGGGACCGAUGGGAAGCGUAGAGCUGUAUGUAAAUAUUGUAAGAAAGAGUAUAUGGCUGACUCUAGAACUCAUGGGACUAGUAAUUUGAGGAGUCACCCAAUUGUAAAGAAUAUCCAAAUAGGGAUACAGAUGGUCAACAAACACUAAAUCUUAAACCGAAACAAAAUGAAGAGGGUGUUGAGGUUGUAGCAACAAUUUUUAAUUUUGAUACUUGUAAAAGGGCUCUUGCGGAGAUGUGGUCAUUGAUGAGUUGCCAUUUAGAUUUGUGGAAGGUGUUGGGUUUAGAAGAUUUUGUAAUGUCAUGCAAUCCAAAUUCACACCAAUUCCCUCUCGUCAAACCAUAUCUAGAGAAGUACUCAAUAUAUUCAAGAAUGAAAGGGAUAAGUUAAAGAAGGCCAUGAAGGGUUGUAGAAUUUGCUUUACUACGGACACUUGGAGAUCUAUUCAGAAUUUGUGUUAUAUGUGUUUGACUGCUCAUUUCAUUGAUGAUAACUGGAAACUUCAAAAAAGAAUCAUAAAUUUUCAACAAGUUGAGGAUCACAAAGGAGAAACAUUGGGUCGAAAAAUUGAGUCGUGUUUGAUUGAGUGGAACAUUGAUAGCAUAUUCACCUUAACAGUUGAUAAUGCUAGUUCUAAUAAUCUUACCAUUCAAUAUUUGAAAACGAUAACCAAAGAUUAGAAGGGGACUAUUUUGC
Molecule: non-coding RNA, 3897 nt
Organism: Camellia sinensis
Lineage: Eukaryota; Viridiplantae; Streptophyta; Magnoliopsida; Ericales; Theaceae
Source: RefSeq, a predicted model, not a curated record